RNAcentral lists this non-coding RNA (157 nucleotides) under Alphaproteobacteria bacterium. Its description in RNAcentral is "6S RNA". It matches the Rfam family "6S / SsrS RNA". Rfam says of the family: E. coli 6S RNA was the first non coding RNA to be sequenced, but its function was unknown until recently. It consists of 184 nucleotides that fold into an extended hairpin structure with a large single-stranded internal bulge. The 6S RNA specifically associates with RNA polymerase holoenzyme containing the sigma70 specificity factor. Lineage: Bacteria; Pseudomonadati; Pseudomonadota; Alphaproteobacteria. RNAcentral also lists the same sequence under 1 other name. The record is from RNAcentral.
AUGGGGCUGCGCGGUGCGUUAGGCGCAUGAAACCCCGGGGCCGAUAUCGACACCUCGGGGACUGUCCCUACCGGAGCUGUGGCUUCGGCACAUGGUUCCCACCUGCGUUAGCGGGCCACGAGGGUUCGUCAAGGCCGACGGCCAACGCGGCUCCAUC